This 500-nucleotide ribosomal RNA is filed under the name uncultured bacterium. RNAcentral's name for it is "partial 16S ribosomal RNA". It matches the Rfam family "Bacterial small subunit ribosomal RNA", at positions 30 to 523 of the family's 1533-position model. The record is from RNAcentral.
AUUGAACGCUGGCGGCAGGCCUAACACAUGCAAGUCGAGCGGAUGAAGAGAGCUUGCUCUCUGAUUCAGCGGCGGACGGGUGAGUAAUGCCUAGGAAUCUGCCUGGUAGUGGGGGACAACGUUUCGAAAGGAACGCUAAUACCGCAUACGUCCUACGGGAGAAAGUGGGGGAUCUUCGGACCUCACGCUAUCAGAUGAGCCUAGGUACGAUUAGCUAGUUGGUGAGGUAAAGGCUCACCAAGGCGACGAUCGUUAACUGGUCUGAGAGGAUGAUCAGUCACACUGGAACUGAGACACGGUCCAGAAUCCUACGGGAGGCAGCAGUGGGGAAUAUUGGACAAUGGGCGAAAGCCUGAUCCAGCCAGGCCGCGUGUGUGAAGAAGGUCUUCGGAUUGUAAAGCACUUUAAGUUGGGAGGAAGGGCAAUAAGUUAAUACCUUGCUGUUUUGACGUUACCGACAGAAUAAGCACCGGCUAACUUCGUGCCAGCAGCCGCCGCCG